AUGAAUUUGGAUAGGGAUUAUCCAUAAUCUAAACACAAUUUUUGGGGCCAUAGUUUCUUUAACUGCUUCUCUUGAUUUGUUUUACACUUACCUAGUUUAAUCCAAUCCGUUUAAAGUUGUUCGUUAAAUGGACGAGUAAAGCUGUUUGUUAAAUGGACGAGUUUAAAUUAGAUUGUUUUAAUACGUAAUCCUUUUUGACCAACAGCAAGCCCGCCCAUUUUUGACCUCUGUCACGUUGUAAUAAAUGAUUGGACAAAGUCAUGGCAGCAUCAAAUAUUACCUGGUGGGCUUUCCAGAUCAGGGUUCAUCCGCAACCACGAAAAGGGCUCAGCAGCAGCAGCAGCAGCAGCACCAGUAGUGUCAGCGUGGCACAGAACAUGUUGUAUUGUAUUUGGGACCCCCUUGCCCUGAGUGACCUUAAACCCUAGCCACUGGCUUCAAAAUGGCUCAACUAUUGUAUAUCCCACCAACACUCUCUGUGACUCUUCCAUUAUAUAUGGCGAUCAAAUUUUGAAUAUCA
Camellia sinensis is the source of this 520-nucleotide long non-coding RNA. RefSeq lists it as uncharacterized. The record is from RefSeq and is a predicted model, not a curated record. Lineage: Eukaryota; Viridiplantae; Streptophyta; Magnoliopsida; Ericales; Theaceae.